RNAcentral lists this transfer RNA (74 nucleotides) under Fidelibacterota bacterium. RNAcentral's name for it is "Candidatus Marinimicrobia bacterium tRNA-Lys". It matches the Rfam family "tRNA". Rfam says of the family: Transfer RNA (tRNA) molecules are approximately 80 nucleotides in length. Lineage: Bacteria; Pseudomonadati; Fidelibacterota. The record is from RNAcentral.
GCCUCAGUAGCUCAAUUGGUAGAGCAGUGGCCUCUUAAGCCAUUGGUUCAAGGUUCGAGUCCUUGCUGGGGUAC